GCUGAGUGCGACGUAAAACUCAACUCACUGGAUUAUUGCCGAAUGCGACGUUAAACAACAGACAAACAAACGACCUGUUUUAUUUUGCAUGAUGAUCUGAGCUGUUUAUUUUUAUACUUACAAUAUCUUUCAAGUAGUUGGUUUGUUGUUUUACACCUUACUCAGCAAUAUUCCAGGGAUCAACAUCCUGUGCAUCGAUCUUUACUGGUUUCUAUAUUUUAAGUAAGAAAGACAUAAAAAUGCUUCAUACCAUUAUCUUGCAUGGGUCACGCGCUUCGUGAGAUGGCAUCAGUGACUUAACCAAUACUAAACAGUGGUUCCGAGACACUGGGUGUUCUUUUUGUGUCACAUGGAGAAUGAUUACAAGAUGUGUGCCUGACAAUACGGUAGCUGGAGUCUUGGAUUUGAUGGGAAAGUGUAUAGUCCAUUAUAAACCAUCAUUUGCUAUUAAAAUGAAAUUGACUGGUACUAUGUGCUACAGGAUGGGGAACACCUAUGAGUAUCAUAUCGGAAUAAAGUUAAGCAUGAAGAAAUAUUGCGCUUUAAGUCACAUGCAUGCUAGGUAUUAAUACGAAUGGCACUUUAGAAUUAUGUAUAUAUGGAUUGAAACUAAAAUUUAACCAUCAAACGUUCGUACGUUAACAAUUGUAUUCUAAAAUGUACGAGGUUUACAACUUGAUACAAGUCACUUCAAAGGUAUUACAGAGGCAGUGCAAAUUCAAAGGCUGUAUAAUGCAAAAAAGGUGUGAUUAUAGCAAUAACGACAACAUUCACCUCACUACUUCAAUGUCAAAAUUUGCAAGAAGCAUUUCCUAGGCUGAUUAUCCAGGGUAAGACGAUUCUCCACACAACUGCUGUUCUUUAUGUAAUUUGAGAUGCAAUGUCACAUGUGAGUUUUCUCCCUUUAUACACCUCAGAAUAAGACACCAGAUGAUUCUCCAAUCCUCUUGGUCAGAGGAGCCCAUAGGGUUGUUAAGCAUUGCAGUACCUUCCAGAACUUUGUCUAAAUAUAGCAGUUCUUUUUCAUCAUCAACCAUUCAAGAAAUUCUGAAUAAGCAGCAUGCAUUAUAUAAGCGGAUAAAUGUGUGACAGUGCACAAUUUAUCAUUAUAUUCUUCAUGUUUGUAUAUUUUUUUGUAUGAAUGUAUUUUGUACAUAUUUGCCACAAAUUUCACUUUCAUUUUGAAGAGUUGUAAUAUUGAAACGUCACUUCAUAUCAUGGCUCCAUCUGAUUUAUCGAACUUCGCAAAGAUAAUUAACAUAAGCCAUAUACCAUUGAAAGUGUCAACUUAAAACUCAAUCCAUUGUUUAUUGCACCAGUAAAUGUCUUAAUGACCACCGUGCAGAUGUCCAGGCCACAACUGUCAAAACAAACUGCCAUACAU
Molecule: long non-coding RNA, 1384 nt
Organism: Haliotis rubra (blacklip abalone)
Lineage: Eukaryota; Metazoa; Mollusca; Gastropoda; Lepetellida; Haliotidae
Exons: 3
Source: RefSeq, a predicted model, not a curated record